Long non-coding RNA from Camelus dromedarius (Arabian camel), 12603 nucleotides. RefSeq lists it as uncharacterized. The transcript is spliced from 4 exons. The record is from RefSeq and is a predicted model, not a curated record. NCBI's taxonomy places the organism in Eukaryota, Metazoa, Chordata, Mammalia, Artiodactyla, Camelidae.
GGAGUGGGGCGGGACACAGCCCCUGAUGGUGGGCUGAUGAGCAGGUUCUCGCUGGGCAGCUAGGGGUCUCAGAGCCGGCCUGGGGGAUGAGGAAGCUGCUGGGCUGCGGGCUGAGGGCAGGGGCGGUGCUUGCAGUGUCCCCCCAGCCGCACAUCGUCCCCGACAGGCACUGCGAUGUGGGCAGGGUGACAACAGCACCUGCCUCCAGUCUCCUGCAGCUUCCCGGUGGGCUCUGGGUUCUCAGGGACGCUCAUCAGAGCAGCCCCGCAAGCUUGGUGAAAACGCAGACUGUUCCUGCGUGAACCCCCCAUUCCUUGGGCCUGGAUGUGGGGCUGGGAGUGAGCAUUUCGAAGCUCCCGGGGUCCAGGUAGACCUUGGAGAACAGCUGGGUCUCCACCGCCCACCCCACGGCCCUGGUUUGCUCUCCUCCUGGUUUCAGAAGACGUUUGCUGAUUUGAGUGGAGGGAGACGGCUUCUCUGCCUCAGUCCCCCUCGGAGGACCCAUUUAUUACGGUCCCUUAGGCGCUAGGAGUACCUCCCCUUGGGUGUCUGUGACCCUCGGCUGGGUCACUGGGCUCCACGCUGAUGUGGGUAACCCAUUUCUCUGGCUUUCCUUCUGCUGUUAGUUUGCAUAGUCCUUGUGUGGAAUCUCCAGAGUGCAAUUUCACGACCCUGGGUUGGUCUUUCUUGAGCUAAGCCCCUUUGUGCAGGUGAGCCGAGGUUGACUUCACCAACUCCCUCUCCUUCGUCCCAUUUUUGGUGGCUUUUUAAUCAUGAAGUGUUGACCCUCUGGCUCCAGGGCUGGUUGGACUUACACAUCGUGUGUGGUGUGCUUGUGUGUUUGUGUGUGUGCAUGUUUGUGGUGGGUGUCAGUGUCCAAGAACCUUGAAUCCAGGGCCAAAGGGGUGAUCAUGAAACUCAAUUCUUCACUUGAUUUCUUCAACACCCUUUUUAUUACAAUGAUUUUCAGAAAAGUUGAAUGAAUUGUUCCAUGGACACUCACGUGUCACCCCGGAAGCCACAGGUAACUUUCUCUGCAUUGGCUUUGUCCACCACUCAUCAAUUUGUCCUGCUGUUUUUGCACAGUUGAAUGCCAGGGGCCUCAUCCUGCCCAGUGACAGCGUGGCCUCGGUUUAAACUCCCCUGGAGGCGGGAGACUCGCUGCCUGCUCAGGCUGUUCCGUCACUCCAACCGUCACAGGGCCAGGCUCCAUUUCUCCCAGGCAUACUCUUCAAAAGAAGGCGUUGAAGGGAAUUAAGAGUCAGCACCUGGGGAAGGGGACAGCUCAGGGGUAGAGAAAAUGCUUAGCAUGCACAGGGUCCUGGGUUCAAUCCCCAGUCCCUUCAUUUAAAAAAAAAAAAAAAAAAAAAAAAAAGAGUCCAAACCCCGUGGGGUUGUUAGAGCUGUGCUGGGCCCGCUGCAGGGGUUAUGGUCCAGGAGUCCUGGAACGUGUGGCCCUAGCCAGCCCCCAGUGAGGUGGACAAGCUGAGAACCGCUGGUUGCGCUGUUGCAGCCCCUCAGAGGUACAGUUAUCCCUAAAAUGACUCCUCAGCCAGAAUCUUGGGUGGCCCUUGGAACAGGUGUGGACACAUGCUCGUGGCCUGCGGGUGCCACUGUCUCUACCCUGAUAGGCCGUGCCAGCUCCUCUCCCGGCUGCCCCGGUGCCCCGGCUGCUGGCCAUGGGGCAGGCGCCUUCACUGCUCUGUGGUUUCCCCUGCAGGCUGCGUGGCUCCGCAAGUCAGACGUGGGCCAGCCCAGUGCCUCUCUGUGGCACUGCUGCUGCCUGGGUGUCCACUGGCUCCCCUGACUGGCAGGGGAUGGGGUCCUGGCCAAGUCCCUGGAGAGAGGCGGCAUGAUUAGGCCUGGAUGGGCCAUGGCCCCAACACCCUUUCUUUGCUUAAUGUAUUUCCUCAUUGCCCAAAGCAAAACGUUCUGUAAAAAUGUGUGUGUGCCUCUGAGAAUGCCUUUGCCUCUUUCUGCAGACAGGGGACGCCAUCUUUCACACUGUGCUGUUGCAAAGUGAGUCAUUAAAGAAAAAGGAAACGUGUUAAUUGUGAUGGCAUAUUGGUACCUACGUGGACGGCCAGGCUGGGGACCCGUAUGAAUUUCAUUACUUUCUGUCUGCAUUUGGGGUUUGGCUUGAACUCAGCGGCCUCUGAGAGCAUACUCUUGUAAAACUGUAAUUAACUCCUGCCAGCGUCAGUGUGUUUUAUUGUCCUCCACAGCCCAAGGCCCCCUGUGACUGAUUUAUGCCGUCCUGAAGGCCGUUGCUCUGAGCUGACGGGCGUGGAUUGAGUUUUAUGGGCUCCAGCUCGAGGGCAGCUCCUCCCAGUCAGAGAUGAUAGCGGGGCCACUCUGCUGGGGUUGGGGGGGCAAGGCUUAGUCAGAACUUGUAGCGUCAGAAACAGGCGGGCUGAGCUGGGAGACAUGGCCUUGGAGGCUGCUGGGGUCUGGGGCUCAAGCUCGGGCCCUGACCGCCGCCUGGAAGCUGUGGGGUGGGGUGGGUCACCUCACCUCGGGCUCCCUCUCUCCCGUUCUGAAGGCGGGGGCAGGAGUCUCGCCCCUAGUCAGCCAGGUAUGGGGUCAUCUCCACAGCCGCAGGAGGACUCAGAGCUGCUGACGUCCCCUGGCUUGGUGGGCUGGGGUCCAUGGCGGCCUGGCCUCUCAGGGUAGGGGCCGGGGAGGCAGACCUGUGGCCCCAACAGUAGCCACCUGCCACAUCCUGCCCACAAGCGCAGCCCCGGCAUCUCUGUCCACAGGACCAGAGGGCUUUGGGGACCAGCCCACCUUGUGGUGACUGCUGGGGGUGUUGGGGGGAGGUCUGCACGGGGGCCGCCCCAGCCCGCUGCGCCGGCCCCUCUGCCCCCGCUUCCCGGUCACCUAAACAUCUUCACGAGCAGAGGGCUGUCACUUUGAUGAGUGGUUUCCACUUUUGUAAUUGAGAUGUACUUAGACCCUCUGAGCUGGGAUUGUAACUUGAGUUUUUUUUUAAAGUUUAAAAUUUUAAUUGCACCCCUUGGGAGUGAUGGAAAUGUGAGCUGUUGUGAUUGUGGUGGUGAUUUCAUGGGUGUUUGUAUCUAUCAAGACUCAUCAAAUAGUGCAUCUGAAAUAGGUGCAGUUUACUGUGCAGGAACCAUAGCACAACAAAGGUGUUAAUAAAAGCCAUUGUUCCCACAACACACACGGCCCGCUCCUCCCAGCUCGGCAGUCCAUCCGCCGACACCUGACUCUCCAGAGAACAACUCUGCCGCAGUUCAUUUAACUCCUUUUCGAAGACUUUUAUCUUUUUAUUUUGCCGAGAAGUCAGGUGUUUUGCAGUCUCCUGCUGCCUCAGAAACGCUGAGAUCUGAGCACACAGCCACCCAGCGACCCCGCUGGUCACAGGCCUUGGAAGUUGCUGCCUGUUCCUGUGGGAUGAGUUCCCAGGGCGAGAUGGCUGGGUCGGUGAGUGUGUCAUUUGGAGACUUAACAGCUUUUGCAGACUCUUCCCCCAAAGGCUGCAGGAAUUCGCAGCAGCAGGCGGGGUCUGCAUCCGGCCCGUGAGCGCUGGGUGCUGAGUGCUGGGUGCUGAGCGCUGGGUGCUGAGUGCUGGGUGCUGAGUGCUGGGUGCUGAGCGCUGGGUGGUGAGCGCUGGGUGCUGAGCGCUGGGUGCUGAGUGCUGGGUGCUGAACGCUGGGUGCUGAGUGCUGGGUGCUGAGCGCUGGGUGCUGAGUGCUGGGUGCUGAGCGCUGGGUGGUGAGCGCUGGGUGCUGAGCGCUGGGUGCUGAGUGCUGGGUGCUGAACGCUGGGUGCUGAGUGCUGGGUGCUGAGCGCUGGGUGCUGAGUGCUGGGUGCUGAGCGCUGGGUGGUGAGCGCUGGGUGCUGAGCGCUGGGUGCUGAGUGCUGGGUGCUGAGCGCUGGGUGCUGAGUGCUGGGUGCUGAGCGCUGGGUGCUGAGCGCUGGGUGCUGAGUGCUGGGUGCUGAGCGCUGGGUGCUGAGCGCUGGGUGCUGAGUGCUGGGUGCUGAGUGCUGGGUGCUGAGCGCUGGGUGCUGAGUGCUGGGUGCUGAGCGCUGGGUGCUGAGCGCUGGGUGCUGAGGUCAUUGAACUCGGAUUUCAGUCUGACGGGUGAUAACCCUCUUGCUCUUCUCACUGUGGCCCAGUCGCGUUUCCCACGAGCUCAUCUUAGCAGCGGAUGGUGCACGUUACCGGCAGGCAUUUUUCCCCAUUCGGAGACAUCGCCUUUCUUUCUCUUUCCCCGCUUUCUCUCUUGCUCUUCACCUGGUCCUUCUCAAACGAUGUGUUUCCACCAUUUUCCAAACAACUCCCAGGAGACCUUUGGUCCUCACUCAGCGGUCGUUCCUCAUCAUUUGAAAUGAUGGUGACUGUCCCCACCUGCUCGCCUGCAGCCUGCGGGCAGGCAGUGCAGUGUGUCCGCUCCAGCUCCUGGGGAAUUCAGGGUCAGAGUUUCUUGGCUGCCUUUACAGGAACAUUUUUGGUUUUGUAACUGUGUCCUUGCGCUCAGACGCGGUUCCUUUUCAGAGGGCGGAGCCAGCCCAGCUGCUAGGAUCAGAUGCAUCUUGAUUGAACAUGAACCUCCCUCUGUGGUGACUGAGCUGGUUUCUGGGCAUUUCUCCCGGGGGUGGAUUUGGUGGCAGGAGAGCCAGCUCCGGGCCUUGUGGGGCCGGCACCGCCCUCCUCGGUGGACUCACUGUCACAUCCUAACCCCUGCCAGCAGCGCGUCUGCACCCCAGAGAGGAGGGCCGCCCUCAGAGUCCGGUAAGCAGCUCUGCACGGCGGGGCCCACGUGCCUGGUCCAGAGGAGGAGGCACACGCCGGGCACCUUUCUCCUCCUGGACUCUGGAGCUUUGGGAAGAGACUGGGGGCUGGAAGCCAAACCACAGAAACGCUUUUCAAAUAAUUGAAACGUAUGUAACUAGGGUUUGAGUCUUUCAACGUUUCCAGCUGUCCCUAGAUGUCCACGUGUCAAGUGAGAGGAUCUCCGUGGAGUUUCUCUUCCUCUUUCCCUCCCUCCCUCCCUCCCUCCCUCCCUCCCUUCCUUCCUUCCUUCCUUCCUUUCCUCCCUCUCUCCAAUAAUGUUAUGCAGAAAAUUUGAAUUAUUGUACCGCAGAGUACAGCAAAUACAAGAAAACGUGCAAACUUGCACACAAUCUUACUGUCCUCAGACAAUUUUCCACAAUAUCUUUGUGGAUUUCUUUCAAUCAUACACACACAAAUGUUUAUAUACACAAUUUUAUACAUAUUUAACAUUAGGCUCCUAUGAUACAUGCAAUUGUCUCUUACUUAACAUUAUAUUAUUAGCAUUUAAGUAUGUCAUUAAGUAUUCUUCAAAAAUAAAACUUUUAGUUUCUUUUUCUUGAAGUAUAAUAGACACACAGGAGUGCACACACCAUAAAUUGAUUAGCUUAAUUGAUUUUUCAAGUGAAAAUGUAAUUUUUGCACUACAAAGUAAUCUCUUGCAUGUAACUUAUCUGUGAAGCCUGUUGUUUGUAAUUUUUCAUGAGGAUAAAUAGCUCUGUCACAGGCCUCCUUGUGCACAAGACUUUGGGUGCAUCUGGUGACUGACUCUUAGUUAAACAUGCAUGACUGGAGGGCUCACCCUCCCUGACUUCAGACUAUACUACAAAGCGACAGUCAUCAAAACAGUAUGGCACUGGCCCCAAAACAGACACAUGGAUCAAUGGAACAGGAUAGAGAGCCCAGAAAUAAACCCACGCACUUGUGGUCAAUUAAUAUAUAACAAAGGAGGCAAGAAUAUACAGUGGAGAAAAGACAAUCUCUUCAAUAAACUGGACAGCUUCAUGUAAAAGAAUGAGAUUAGAACAUUCUCUAACAUUGUAUAUAAAAAUAAACUCAAAAUGGAUUAUAGACCUAAAAGUAAGACCUGAAACCAUCAAAUUCCUAGAAGAGAACAUAGGUAGAACACUCUUUGUCAGUAUUUUUUUGGACCUGUCUCCUAAGUCAAAACAAAUAAAAGCAAAAAUAAACAAAUGGGACCUAAUUAAACUUAAAAGCUUUUACAUAGCAAAGGAAACAAACAAACAAAAAAACAGAAAGAAAACCUACGGAAUGGGAGAAAAUAUUUACAAAUGAUGUGACCAACAAGGGGUUAAUACCCAACACUUAUAAACAGCUCACACAGCUCAGCCUCAGAAAAGCAAUCCAAUCAGAAACGGGCAAGCACAGGGCGAGAUACACAAGGCUCACAGUGAAGAAGAAUGUGACAACGAGUAUGUGUAUGUUCGUGUAUGACUGAAAAAUUGUGCUCUACACUGGAAAUUGACACAACAUUGUAAACUGACUGUAACUCAAUUAAAAAAAAAGAAAUGGGCAGAAGACCUGAAUAGACGUUUUUUCCAAAGAAGACAUACAGAUGGUCAACAGACACAUGAAAAUACGCUCAACAGUGCUGAUUAUUAGAGAAAUGCAAAGUAAAACCACAAUGACAUACAGCCUCGCACCUGUCAGGAUGGUCGUCAUCACGAAGACCACAAAUUGGUGAGGAUGUGGAGACAAGGGUGCCCUUGGGCACUGCUGGUGGGAAUGGGUGCAGCCCCUGUGGGAAACAGUGCGGAGGUUCAUCAAAAAACUAAAAGCAGCGUUACUGUGUGAUCCAGUAAUUCCACUUCUGGGUAUUUAACUGAAGAAAAUGAAAACACUGACUUGAAAAGAUAUCUACACUCCCGUGCUCACUGCAGCACUAUUUACAACAGCCAUGACAUGGAAGCAACCUCCGUGUCUGUCAACAGGUAAAUGGAGAACAAAAUUGUGCAGUGGAAUAUGACUCAGCCAUGAAAAAGAAUGAAGUCUUGCCUUUUGCAGCACGGACAGACCUGGUUGGACCUGCGGGUGUUGUACUAAGUGAGGGUGCUGAUGCUGCGCUCCCCCAGUCUAACUCGAAUCCCCGGCAAACCCCAUCCCACGGGGGCAGGGCUCCCACAUGAGUUGCGAAGGAACACAAACCCUCGGCCCACACAACAGUCAUGAUGCUACACCCGUGCCUACACCCUCUGGAGUCAGCACGUCAGACCCCGUCUCCUCUGAUUUGUUCCAUGUCGCUUCCCAGUACUGGGGUCGUUCCCCGUGCAAGGCUUAGCCCCUGGCUGGGGGUCAGAGGGCAGAAAGGAGAUGGCUGUUGGGAGAGGCUUUCCGAGCCAGGUUGGGGGUGCAGCCGGCACAAGGUCCAAAUGUGGAAAAGGCAGGUGGGCUGUGGGGUUGAGGGAGUUUCCGGGAUGCUUCCAGAAAGCUCUGAGCUCCCUGGCACACUUCUGGGCCACCGGGCCGGAAAUCCGUCUCAAACGCUUCCUAUGGUGCGUCCACGCCGCACCCCGCCCGUCCCAGCGGCACCUCGCCCGUCCCAGCGGCACCUCGCCCGUCCCAGCGGCUGGCCCCGGGUGUGGCCGCUCUGCAGCAGGGCUUCUGGUGGUUGAUCCUGACGGCCUCCCCAGCGGCUCUUCCCUCACGUCCAGGUGUUCCUGUGACUUCACUCCUGAGCUUGUCCUGUGCUCCUGAUUCGUGACUGCUUGUUUGCUUUAGAAAAUUUCGGGACCAAAUUUCUUGGCUACACCAGAAAAUGGAAAAGUUAUAAACGAGAGUGUUUAUGUGCUGAAAUCAAAAUUGUGUACGUGUGUGUAAGUGUGCGUGUGCAUGCGUGUGCAUGUGCGCAAACCUGGCCCCGCCUCUGCUCAGGGUUAGGUUGGCCGGGUCAAGGCCGAGGCCGGGUCAAGGCCGAGGUCGGGUCACCCAGCCUUGCUCUGCUGUGUUGUAGUUACUCCAUUCCAUUCCAUUCCAUUUUAUUUAAUUGUAUGUUUAGGCAGCAGAGAGGGAGUCUUGCCUACAGGGCCCCUCCUGGGUGUGAGGACUUGAGCUGCGAGCUUCCGCUCCGGGUGAGAGAAGGGCGGUCAGGGCGCUUGCAGACCCGGGGAAGCCCGUCCCCUGCACGCUCUGGGCCGAGUCUGGGGUUCCUGGGCUCCAGCCCUGGCGGCGCCCUGGGUUCUGCUCACACUGGGGCAGGGACCCCCGGCUGCACGUGCCGCCCAGGGCUUCUCCCCCACAGUGACCGAGGCUCGGCCACCCUGCUCCGGGGACAGUUUUUCUCGCUCUGAGUUGGGAAGAGCUGUGCUUUGUCUGAGCAGCUGUGUCGUCCAUUUCUGCACACAGUUGAUUCUGUGGCUGACGUGUUUCCUUUUUUCUGUUCGCUGGGAGCAGAGUGAUGGGUUAGACACGUGGACUCCUUCCUCCCUCGGGCUCGAUUUUCUGCACUAAGCUACAUCUCUCACUAUCUUGAGCUUGCGAACACUUACUGACGUGCUUCCAUUUCUGGGCUAGUGGCCCCCACAGGAGGGGCCAGGGAGGCAGCCCGGAGGCGGGACUGGGCUGCGCACAGGUGGGGCCACGGCCGCUCGCGGGAACUGCGUGCAGGCCCUCGGUGCCACGGGGGCGGGGGUGAGCCUAGCGGUGGCGGGGCCGUUAGCUAGAGCACAAGCCGCGUCUGCGCCGCCGCUGCACCGCUGUGUGGCCCGGGGCACGGUGCCUAACCUCUCUGAGUUUCCCCUCUGCAGGGCGGGAUUAGUAACGGAGCCUGCUCCACGAGGUCUGAGUCUUGAACGAGACCAGUCUGCCGGGGGCUGAGCAGAGGGCUGGCCUUCGCGAUUGCUAUUGCUAUUAUUAUUAGUGCCACUGGAAGGCCCGGAAACGGGGCAGGCGGAGGGCGGGGGACGCUGCCGAGACAACAUGCUCUCGGCCACAGUGAGUGUUUCCUGAUCGCCGGGGGUGGGGUGUGCCAGGCCGACUCCAGAGGCGCCCCGAGACCUCCCCCAGGCCCCCAGCCUGUGACAGGGCGGGGCUGGCCCCGUGGUGACGGUGCUCACAGGGCCAAGGGGAUUUCCCCCGUGCAGGCGUCCUCUGACCUUGGAAGUGGGAAGUCACCCUGGUGGGCCUGACCUCAUCACACAAGGCCCCGUUCCUGGACUUGAUGAGGGUGUGAUGCGUGAGGAGCCCCGCGGGGCCCAGGACAGCCCUUGGCUGACGGCCACACGGAGUCGGGCCUCGUCUUGCAACACAAGGAACUGGGCUCUGCCUCCGGGAGCCUGGUCGGGGCCUCCCCGGAGCCUCUGGAAAAGCAGAGGUGGUGGACACUUGAUCUGGGCCGUGAGCACCCAGCCUCACCCUCCAGGAUGUCCAGGUUGUGUGAUGACAGAGGGUCUGGGUGCAGCGUGCAUAGCUGCUGCCUGGGCCCCUUCCACCCGCCGCCCACUUUCCAGGCUCCACCGGAGAAGCUGGGCGGGGCGGAUGCUUCUUCCUGUGGCUUCCUGGCCGCGUCUGGAAAACGGCCCCCGAGCAGGACCCCUGUCCAUGCUGCGCACCCCCUGCGGGCCGUGGCGCCCCUUGCGGCUGCAGUGACACCUGGUCGGCGGCUCCCCGGCCAGAGGCUCCCGGAGGUGGACGGCGCCAGCAGGGAGGGGACACGUCUGUGCCUGAGUGACCCGAGUGGGUGGAGACGUGGUCGUGGGCCGGGCUGGGCAAGGUGUGCUUGCUUCCGAGGGAAGGCGUCACCAAGGCAGCCAGCAAGGCGGUGUACGCUCCUGGAGUGCCACUGUAAUUCAGCCUCCAGCGUGACUGGUAAGGCCCUGCUGGUGAGAUGCGUGUGCCUUAAACCCGAGACUGUAAACCUAAUAGGAAUUGGGUUCACUGCACGAGUCAAGAUAGUUGUACUUUGAGAAAUGUUUUCAAGGUAACAUUAAUUUCGACCUUUAUGGGAAGUGUGACAUGAGUGUGUUUUUAGAGUGGGUGUUCGCACCUGACACAUUCUCCAUUACCACCUUACCAGAUUUUCUGAGUUGCUGCCCCAGUAGGUGGGUCAGGUGUUUCCAAAAAGCAAUCACGUACUUUCAUGCUCUGCAAGGACAUGUUAUGCUGAUGGAAUGGAGCUCUCUCUGUUUCCUUCUAGGAGCCUCAAGAACACAGGGACGGGAGAGGGGGGUCCCGCUGGCGGAGCUGGGGCCUGAGAGAGUGAGGGGCCAGCGAGCCAUCAGCCGUCUCAUGUCCUCUCCUCCUAGGCCCCCUGGGGGACCUGUGCCCGGAAGAGACAACAGUUUCCAGGAUCCUAUGAUCCAAGAUCUUCCCAUGAAAUCCCUAAAAGAACAGGCCGAAGAUGUACCUGUGGGUUCCCGCCGGGCCCACCGGCUUCCCGAGUCGGUUUGGAACGUUUUCCCCUCUUUCCCUAGCCUCACCCGCUUCCGACAAAGGAGCCCUGGCCGGGUGCUGCCCUGGCAUCCACCAUGUGGGUGGAUGGCAUCGCGUAUCCCUUGAUGGACGUUUGGUUGUUUCCACGCUGGGGCCAUCCUGAGUAAGGCUGCCGGGAACACCUGUGGACGAGCUUUUCUUUGAGCCCCUGCAGGGUUUUUGGAGUGAGCUACUGUUGGGCCUUGUCUGAAGAGCUGUGACACUCCCGUCGGCCAGUGCCUGUCACCUGGACUGUGAGUCACUGCUUGGCUGUCCUGGGUUAGUUUUCCCCAGAGAAGAGGCUGCGCUUUGUUAAAUGGGCGGAUCAGGCUCUCACAGGUGUUUUGGAGGGACUCGGUGCAUCCCAGUCCUCCCUCCACUGCCUCCAGCAGCCAGGGCUUUCUGGCCCAGGAACGUCCCCAGAUGUGUGGGACCAGCCCCCUGGCCCCCCACCUGUGGCCCCGUCGCCCAGCCCCUGUCACUGCGGUGGGCUUGGGCGGAAGCGCUAUGAGCUGGGUCCCUGGGAGUGGGGGUUGGAGGAAGACAGGGACCCCCUCUCUUGACCGUUCCCGCAGUUGUGCUGGGCCCUUCCCGACACGGGCUGGCAGGACCCCGUGGGAUGACAGGGGAACUGAGGCCCUGGAACCCCAGCCAGGCCAAUGUGGACAGGAGCCUCUGUCUGCCUGCAGGGAGUCGGCCAGGUGAUCGCGGGGGCAGCGUCCGCCCCUCACCUGGGGCAACGGUCCUGCAUGUGGGCCGCGGGCCGUUCCUGGGGAGGUGAAUGCAGUGGAAGAGGGACUCUUGACUGAGAAGGAGGCGUUUCCAAGACGUAGUUCAGGGGGAUAAAGGGCAGGUGUGAGUAAAGGUUGCUUGAAUCCGUGCCGUGUGGUGUGGAGACCACGGCGAUUUCUCCCAACAUCGCCCCCCAGGGUCCAUGAUCUGGUUUCGAGGACUCACAUCCCAGCAGACGUUGCCAGGGGCCUGCCCGGACCUCUGCGGCUCUCGCCAGCCGGACCCGCGUCUGCCAGCACCUGCAUUUCUCUGCCCCUCCAGCUUGGGAGCCCCAGACGUUGUAGGGCAGACAACUGUCCCUGCUGUGCCCUUUCUGAAGUCCAGUCACUAGCACAGACCAGCAGGCCAUCCUAAAAUUAAUGGCGUGAGGCGUGAUGAAAAUGUGUGUCAUGUCGUUAACUUCGGGAUGGUUGCUGUUCUGUACUUGCAGCUGGAACAGGCGGGGCAGUGAGAGCUGAGAGCAGGAAGGGCGUCCCUGCUUCACCCCAGGAUGAGCGGACGUGGGGCAGCAAGGCCUAGGGGGCAGAGACCGGCCCCAGGCUGGGCUGCGGCUCCACCCUUCCCCCCCAGUCUGCACUGGGUGGGGGUGGCAGCGGGAAGCCUGCCUGUGUGGCCGAGCGCCGUGAUUCACUGCAAACGUGCCCGCAUAAACGGUGCACCCGGGGAGCCCGUGUCUGCCGUAAACCCUUGCCGACUGCGCUCCUGUAGUUCUGCUCCACAGGGAGGCACGCCCUGUCCCCACACCUGUCCUUCCCCGAGAUGGAAGGAGCCCUGGGCUGUCACAUCUUAAAGAGGGGACUGUCCACCUGGAGAAACCGUAACCUGAGGACGUGUGCCUGGCCGCCCGCAGGUGUCGGGCUCAGCGCUGGGUGGACUCCGGCCCCGUGGGACAUGGAGGGUCUGGGGUCCAGCAAAGGGUGCGGGGCCGGCUCUCCGUGCGUUUGGGAUGUUGAAGAAGACUCGGGGCCGGGGUUGUGAGGAGCAAGUGCGGCCACAGCACAGCUCGUUGGGGGGACACGCCAGCUGUGUGACGUGCCCUCAGGCGCCCUCGCUGGCGGCCCUGCUCCUGCUCCUGCUGUGAGGACACCUGCGCUGCACUCCCCGCAGGGGCCCCAGGAUGCUCCGCGAACGUCUGGGGCUCCUGGAGGCAGCUCGGAGGAGGGGGCUGUGCCUGAGUCCCUUGGGGAAGGAGGUGGCCAUGGACGCUCAGAGCGGGUGACAGUCCUCACUGCCAGCGGUCCCCGGCUGGGUGAUGCUGCUGUGGGGGCGCUUGGAGACCCUCUGAGAAUCGGACACUACACGAAAUGAGACUCUACAACCUCCUCGUUUGGGCUGAAGGGUUGGCCUUUGAUAAUAUGCUAAUUAAGCUGCCUGCCUUCCUUUAAGUCCAGUCUGUCAGGUCGCUCCUGUGAGCUGGGGGUUUCCUGGGUGCGGGGGAGAAUGGUUGGAUAAGAGGACAAAAUUCCUCGUCCAUUAAGAGUUUCGGUCCAGCGGGAGAGGAGGAGGGAAAAGAAGUGAGGGGUACAGGUGGCCAGGGGCUGGGAGCUCUCAGAAGAGGAAUAAAGGGGAAGGAGCCGGGGACAGUGCUG